GCAACUCGCCUGCAUGAAGUCGGAAUUGCUAGUAAUCGCAGAUCAGCAUGCUGCGGUGAAUACGUUCCCGGGCCUUGUACACACCGCCCGUCACACCAUGGGAGUCGGUAACACCCAAAGUUGGUAGCCUAACCGCAAGGAGGGCGCCGCCUAAGGUGGGAUUGAUGACUGGGGUGAAGUCGUAACAAGGUACC
RNAcentral lists this ribosomal RNA (194 nucleotides) under uncultured bacterium. RNAcentral's name for it is "partial 16S ribosomal RNA". It matches the Rfam family "Bacterial small subunit ribosomal RNA", at positions 1307 to 1500 of the family's 1533-position model. The record is from RNAcentral.